GAUGAAGAACGUAGCGAAAUGCGAUAAGUAAUGUGAAUUGCAGAAUUCAGUGAAUCAUCGAAUGUUUGAACGCACAUUGCGCCCGCCAGUAUUCUGGCGGGCAUGCCUGUUCGAGCGUCAUUACAACCCUCAAGCUCCCCGGCUUGGUGUUGGGGACCGGCCACCGGUGCCCUGCUGCUUCCGCGGCAGGCGCACCCGGCCGCCCCCGAAAUGAAUUGGCGGCCCCGUCGCGGCCUCCCUCUGCGUAGUAGCACACAUCUCGCAACUGGAGCGCGGCGCGGCCACUGCCGUAAAACGCACCAACUUUUUUUACAGUUGACCUCGAAUCAGGUAGGAAUACCCGCUGAACUUAAGCAUAUCAAUAAGCGGAGGA
This 373-nucleotide unclassified non-coding RNA is filed under the name soil metagenome. RNAcentral's name for it is "partial contains 5.8S ribosomal RNA, internal transcribed spacer 2, and large subunit ribosomal RNA". The stretch from base 1 to 120 matches the Rfam family "5.8S ribosomal RNA", at positions 35 to 154 of the family's 154-position model. The record is from RNAcentral.